UCUUCGGAGGGAGUGGCGCACGGGUGAGUAACGCGUGGGAACCUACCCUUUGGUACGGGACAACGCAGGGAAACUUGCGCUAAUACCGUAUGCGCUCUGGGGAGCGAUCUCUGGAGGAAAGAUUCAUCGCCGAAGGAUGGGCCCGCGUCGGAUUAGGUAGUUGGUGAGGUAACGGCUCACCAAGCCGACGAUCCGUAGCUGGUCUGAGAGGAUGAUCAGCCACACUGGGACUGAGACACGGCCCAGACUCCUACGGGAGGCAGCAGUGGGGAAUAUUGGACAAUGGGCGCAAGCCUGAUCCAGCCAUGCCGCGUGAGUGACGAAGGCCUUCGGG
Molecule: ribosomal RNA, 334 nt
Filed under: uncultured bacterium
Lineage: Bacteria
Description: bacterial SSU rRNA
Rfam family: Bacterial small subunit ribosomal RNA
Source: RNAcentral